Molecule: unclassified non-coding RNA, 240 nt
Filed under: soil metagenome
Description: partial contains 5.8S ribosomal RNA, internal transcribed spacer 2, and large subunit ribosomal RNA
Source: RNAcentral
AACCAUAGAAACCUGCGGAGUACCUGCGGAGGGAUCAUUACAAGAAUCGAGGCUGACGGUGCCUACUCCCUAGGCUCCGUCCAGUCCCGCUCUCUACCUUGCCUACUGCACCGUUUGUUGCUUCCUGGCGGCGUCCCGUCGCCAGGGCCUUUUGAAAGCCAAGUAUAAGCAUUGAAACUUCUGACAUACACUAAAUCGUACAACUUUCAACAACGGAUCUCAGAUCGGGAGAGCACACGU